GUCCUGGAGUUGUUUUUUUUUUCUUAAGUGUAAACUUUGCCUAGUAAUGACGUAAGUGCUUUCUAAAUGGAGAUUUACACAUCACUUAAACAGAGUUGCACCACACAAACAAGUUCUAUUUUGUAUGUGCUUCGCCCUCUAAUGGGCUUCGCUGUUGGUUUACCCCAUCAGGCUCCACCCCUGAGACAGAUCUUUGUACUCACCGCCCAAUCAGGUGGUGGCAUGCAUGCCUGAUAAAACACAGGCACACCUGUCACUGGGCUCCCUGUUUCAUUCAGCCACCUUGAGUACAGACACAGCACUCAGCUAAAACUUGGUUGCUCAGAUGUCCCUUUCAGCAAGUCCUGUUGAAAUUUCUCAUUACCUGUUUAGCCUGCUCGCUCCCUCUGCCUAGCUCGGCGCUGGGGAGGGAGGCAGCAGUGGCUAACUAGCCAUGGUUAGCCAUGGUACUAGUACCACGAGGAAGAUGACCAGCACGUCUGUGAGGAAGUUCCUUCGUUCCCGCUGCCUCUUCGACGACAUACCGCACACUUCUGCUAACUGCUAUGCUAGUGCCGCUCAGGAUUCAUCACUAGCUGGCCAGCUCUAGCUACAUCAUGACUUGCUAGCAUUUGCCAAUCUGGCUUAGCACUAGCUAGCAAGCUUCUUCCCUCACUGGCUUGCUCGACAGCGGUCAAGGUUUUCACCAUCAGGACCGAGCAGGAUGCGUGCAGCCCAUGCCGGCUUCAGACUCUUCUGCUGGGCUUGUUGACUUUGAAGGAACAUAAGCGGCUGUGUUUUUCAUUUGUAAUACAUGUGCUGAUGAGAGGCACCCCACCCAGGAUGUGGUUGCUUUAUCGCUCCCUGAAUUGGGGGGAGAGUGUCAGAUGCUUGCGGUCUCCCCCAGCCUCAAUCUCCCCUUCCCACAUGCCUCAUUUCACCAGUAAAGAGCAAGCUAAGCACUUCCACAUUGCUACACUGAUACACAGGCUGUUUCAGAUGCAUGUGUUAUGUUGUUAGAGGCACCCCACCGGGGAACAGGGUUGCUUCUGUCUCACCCCAGGUGAGGUGAAUAAAGAGAAGGUGAUGUCUGAUGCUCGUUCUUCCCUGGCCUCUCAUUUUUAUGUUUUUUUCUGCCAUACCUUCCACUUGUUCACCGCUCUGGGUGCACAGGAACGUGCAACAUUGCCUCUCAGUGAAGUGUUAUUUGGAGAGGCAGCCCACUUGGGAUGGGGUGACUUCUCCUCUCCCCAUCUCAUGUGAGGUGGAGAAGAGAAAGAAAGCUUGGACACAUCACCGUGGCUGAGUUUUUUUUCUCCAUGAUCGCUGCGUGCUACCAUGCCAGCCCACGCGCUGGGUGAUAGCUCAGGUUCUCCUGUGAUGGACUGAGUUUAUCACUGACGUGUAGCAUUUACUGUUCCCAUACCGACGAGGAUGUGGCACAAGGUGACUAAUUUUCUCCUACCAUUUCCAUUAUUACCCUCCACCUUCACUUGUGCCCCUAACUGUGCCAGGCUCACAGGAGCACACAUCUGGACUCCCACACGGGUAAUAGGGGAUGAUUCUUCCCCAGUCCACAGUCACGGAAAGCUUCAUCACCGAAGCGCGGCGUCCAUUUUCCGGUUAACUUUCUCCCAUAUUGGAGAGGAGGUGACAUAAAGGCGAGCCAUUUUUUCCCUGUCAUCAGUUGCCAAACUCAAAAGGGAGCCGAGCGACGGGUGCGCCGCUGUUUCAUAGGGCAUGUAUGUUACCACCUGACUGGGUGGUGAGGGCAAACAUCUGUCUCAGGGUGCUGAGGCUCCCCUUGAAGGGGUAAACCAAAAGUGAAGCCUGUUACGCACGUACUCAUAGAACUGGAGUUACAUCCAGGUAUUAUUUCUUACGUAGAGAUUAGUUGUUACUAAAUAUUCACACACCCAGUAACUGCCAGAUGUAACUGUUACUAAACGGAACUAACUGACAAAGCUAAUAUAUAAUGUUAAAAUUUAAGAGUAAAAUAAAUAACUUGAUUAAAAGGCUGUUUAAUAAAGAUUACUGGGGACAUUUAAAAUAGUAUUUCACAAAAAGAACACAAUAUCCCUCAAAUUACAAAACAUUAAAUCACAGAAUGUUAGACUAGUGUGGACUGAAAUGACUGAACCUUAACCUAAUGUUGGUUAGGUUAGCUUAAUUGGAUAUUUCCCAUUCAUUGCAUGAAUACUACUGAUUCUGAGACACAUAAUUCUGCAUUUAUACAUAAAAGUAAUACCAACAUUUAAAUGGGAUUGGCUGUUCAGUUAUAAUCUAUUGUUUGCCCUCCUAAAACUGUUAAUUAAGUUAUAGCUUGUGAUGCUACAGUGACUUCUUGUUUACAUAGUUUGAUUGGACAGUGCUACGGAUGUUUCCUAGCAACCGAUUUACACAUUACUAUAGACUUUACUAGCUAAGUACUAGUUAAUUUCUAAAUUUAGUAACCCACUAGUUUGAAACUAGCUAGCUGUUACUAAGAACUUAGGAAGGACUUUCCACACAAACCUGCCACUGGAUUUAUCAAUAGCUGGCACAACCCACUCCUAAUGUGAAAUUUUAUAUACAAAGUUAUGACAUGACCAAUAAGAACCAUAAUCACAAUGAUGAUUUACCCUGACAUGACCUCAAACAUAUUCCAAUAAACAACUGAGAUCUCUAAAGGAAGUUUAUAUGCAGGUUCUAUUAUUUUUCCAGCCAAAACACAUAAAACCAAAGCUAUUAUUCUUUUUUAACAGUGUUCAGCUACAGUCCUGUCCAGACUGCACAGUGGCCUACCUUUUUAGCGCUCCACUAUCAAUGAUUUACUAACAUCGUGCUAAGAUUACAGCUGCCUCCUCCUUCACCCAAACCUCCAGUAAACUCCUCCCUAAAAACCCCCCACUGUACAACAGAAGGCUGCACCCUCCUGCAGCGACCCCUAUCCAUUAAAGAAUGACUUUUGAACCAAGAUGUCACCACCACAGUACAAGUUGUGGCACUUGACCUUAUGAAAGAGGUAACGAAGGCUGAUGUGCGCCAUGUAGAAUGAAAACUGCCAUAUUUGAGCCCCUCAGGCUGAAAGCUUCUUUCUCCCCGAGCCAAGUAACUAACAAGAAGCAAGUGGAACACAUUCCUGUGUGAUGCAAGGAUGGUUGUAAAAGUUUGCAUGAAAGUCCUUUGCAGUGUUGGAGAGGUGCUUUUGCUGUGGGAUCCAUGAACUUACAGUCCAUUAUGUGUAAGGUUUCUCUCCUGGUAUAGCCACUCAACAUUAUGAGGAUGGCAAACACCAGUAGAAACAAAAAUUUAAAUUCUCUCUUAACAGACUCUGUUCUUCUGUAGCUUAACUCAGUUUGAUCCUGAUUACUGUGGAUUUAUGCCAUAAAGAUUUAACAUUACAUUACAUUCAUUUGGCAGACAUUUUUGUGUGACUUACAGUAAGUGUAUUCAAACCAUGUAGGGGCAAGAGCUACACAUCAUCCAAAAUUGGGAGUGUAUUCCUUUUAAACGAAAAACUAAGGCAUGUUCAGUGUUACUGUACAAGUGCUUAGAGAUUCUUUUUUUUUUUAUAAGCCUAGAAAACAUUGUUAGUCAAUUGCAGUUUAAAUAUAUCAGCAAGAAAAAAUGUGUCAAAAGUUAUUUCCUCAACACAGCUCUCUCCCCUUUUCUCACUUAAUCACUCACUUCUUAUUUAAACACAAAAUUGUAAAUUAGGCACCUCCAUAGCUGUUAUUACGCACCACAUCUACACAUGCAAUAAUAUCUCAACUUUCACCCAAGUUCAAAACCUUUGUGCAGCUCAGGAAUCCCUACACUGUGAGCAGUAUUACUUUGCAAUUUGAAACACGAGGCUUCACAGAUGCAGUGUGGACACCCCACAUCCUCGCCAUGGGAGGUGGACACAUGGGAUUGCCAGACAGGGUGAUCAUGUAUGAUGGGACAUGUUUGUCAUGAAGACCUGUGUGGACCAUAGAAACACACUGACAAGGCUCUGAUGGAGCUGAGUGGGCUAAUAUCCCACCAAGUGGACAGACACAAAGUUAUAGAAAAUAUCCACAAUGAACCUACAGUGAUAGGCCACUAUUGACGACCUCAAGUAUGCUCCACUGAGAGUGGAAAGGGUUUGCUGUAAGAAGAAGAUACACACAUGUACAUGCAAACUUGUUUCACUAUCCAUCUUGGGCCAAUAUG
Molecule: long non-coding RNA, 4155 nt
Organism: Siniperca chuatsi (mandarin fish)
Lineage: Eukaryota; Metazoa; Chordata; Actinopteri; Centrarchiformes; Sinipercidae
Exons: 2
Source: RefSeq, a predicted model, not a curated record